AACGCACCUUGCGCUCCUUGGUAUUCCGAGGAGCAUGCCUGUUUGAGUGUCGUGAAAUCAUCAACUCCUUUGCUUUAUUGUGAAGUGAGCUUGGAUUUGGAGACUGCUGGUGCAAAUCAGCUUCUCUUGAAUGCAUUAGCUGGAAUUCAGUUUGCAGCAUAUAUGCGGUGUGAUAAUGUCGUCACUGCGUAGCUGGUAUUCUGUCUGGCUUCUAAUCGUCCUUUACUUGGACAACUUGAUCAUUCUGACCUCAAAUCAGGUAGGACUACCCGCUGAACUUAA
RNAcentral lists this unclassified non-coding RNA (282 nucleotides) under uncultured fungus. RNAcentral describes it as "sequence contains ITS2". The stretch from base 1 to 52 matches the Rfam family "5.8S ribosomal RNA", at positions 103 to 154 of the family's 154-position model. The record is from RNAcentral. Lineage: Eukaryota; Fungi.